Molecule: non-coding RNA, 72 nt
Organism: Phrynosoma platyrhinos (Desert horned lizard)
Lineage: Eukaryota; Metazoa; Chordata; Lepidosauria; Squamata; Phrynosomatidae
Source: the annotation of a GenBank genome assembly
GCCAGUGUGGUUUAGUGGUUUGCCCACUGGACUACAGCUCUGGCAAACAGAGUUCAAAUCCCCGCUUGGGCA